UUCCAGGAUAGCCAGGGCUAAAUAAGACCUUGUUUUUUUUAAAGAAACAAAGAAAAGCUUCUAGUACCUCAGGAACAUUUAAAUAAAAUAAACUGAACUGAUGUCAUCCUGAUCCCAGCAGCAGCUCAGUUAUUAUGUUAAAGUUGAAGGGCUUCCUUUUUUAUGAGUCUGUAUUUGGGGAGGACUGAGCUGAGAUUUGUUGUAGGCGGGUUUUAGAUCAUGAGCCCAAAGCUAUAGAGCAGAGACAGCAGUAUGUUGAAGCUACUCUGCCUGUGACCUAAACUGGGACUUGGAUGCCUUCUUCAAGUUCUAUAAUAUGUUUGAGAUCUCUUCUGGCCUAAAACAAUUUUCUUCAGGCAUUCAGCAGCCUUCAGAAAGAAGUACCUUAAUUUUUACCUAGUUUUAUUGUUCCAAUUUCCUAUGUGUUUCUUUUUUUACUCAAUAAACAAGCAGAAUUUUUGUCCUGCUUUAUCCAGGUAUUAAAGACGAGAAGUUGGAUCCACUGAGUUAGUAUGUUUCCUUGUAAAAGAAAAGUGAUUAAACUUAAGUUUAAGCCUUCUUUUGUAUUGUAACUUUGUCACAAAAGUAACUUGAAAUCUUAAAACAGUUAAACAUCAUUAGGCACAGUGGUCGUGCAAAUUAUUACAUGUACAUGGUCUUGUAAUGUUCUGAAAUAAGAGAUUUUUUCAAUAAAUAAUUAUAUUAUGAUUGACUACUUUUAAAGGUACAUUUGUAAGACCAGGUUCAGAGACAUAAUUGCUUAUAGUCUCAGCUACUAUGAAGCAGAGACAAGAGGAUCACUUGAUCUCAGGAGUUAAUGGCAAUAGAAAGUCCUUCACAACAGUAGGUGGGUGCAGUAGGUUACCAAGAGAUAUUUUUUCUUUACCAUAAGCACAAUGUUGCUUGCUACUAAAAUAUGUCAUUCUGGGGCAGGAGAGUUAAGAUGGUAAGUGCUUGAGACCUAACUUAAUCCGUAGAACCAACAUUCAAAAAACCAGGAAGCUCCAAUAACAAAAGCUACACAGAGAAAACCUGUCUGGGGGGGUGAGGGGAAACUAAAGGAAGAAGGGAAGAAAAGACCAGAAGGGGCAGGGCAUCGUGGGCAGGCAGCACAUCACAUACCCUGAAUCCCAGCAAGCAGAUCUCUGUGAGUUUAAGGCCAAUCAAGGUGACUAAGACUCUGUCUCAAAACAACAGAGCUAGCAGGCUGUAAUGAUGUAUACUUGUAAGCAAAGCCCUGGGGCUUGCCGGCCAGCAUGAGUAAGCCUAAUCAGUGAGUUCCAGGUCCACAGUGGAAGACCCUGAUUCCAAAAAGGUGAGAUUUCUUAAACGUCUGUAAAGAUAAGAAAACGCUGCUACCCUAUGGGUGAAAUGACCUUGAGAAAUCUAGUCUUAGACCUGCCUCUCACAUGGUGUAGAUGAAUGGUGACUUGAAACUCUUAGGUAAUAGAGUAUACAUAGAGCUGUAGGCUAUUUCUGCUUCUGUAGCUUUUGAUUUAAUGGAAUUGUCCAAUAAUGGUAAUACCAUAUUAUUUCUCUGCUCAAAAAUUAUGGAAAAUGACUGAGGAUGGUGGCAUAUACCUUUAAUCUCAGCACUCGGGAGACAGGAGUUUAGAUCUCUGAAUUUGAGGACUGCUGGGGCUACAUAGUAUAACUAUCUUCAAGACAAAAAUUGUAGAGGGUAUUUCCUAGAAUGCUCAGAUACAUUCUAAUUUUUCCUGUUGGUCAUCUCAGAAGCUUGCAUGACAGUGAAUUCAGUUUCAUAAAUCUUCAGCAAAUAGACUGUCUUCUGCAAAGACUCUCAAUGUUGAUUGACAUUUACUGAUAUUUUUAUAGUCUUUUGAGCUUGUGGAAGGGGUGUUUUGGUUUGGUUUUUGGUUUUCUCAACAAGUUUUUUGGUUUGGUGGGUGUUUUUUGUUUUUGUUUUUUAAUGUUUCAUAGAAAUUACAAAACGUUCUACCUAUUCACUGAGAAGUGUACAAGGAUUCUUUUAAAUCUUCCUUGUUCAGUUAAUACGUACUUGUUUUUGUAAUUGGUGGCUUUCUGGUCUGAUAACUAUAUACUUCUAGGCCUUUCAGUUAUUGCAUCUCAUAGCCAGUCAAGACCAAGAGACAAUGGUUUUUUUCUAAUGUCUCUUGGAUUUUUCCCCCAAUGCAGAAGUGUCUGAAACAAUAGAAUAAGAAAUUUGAGGGCAGCCUGGGUUCCCUAUUGACAUCUCUUAUCAGAAGCAUAACACAUACAGGAAGUUUAAGAUGACUUCAAUUACAGACAACAUGGGAGAGAAAUGUAGCUAGAUUGUUUAGAAGGCAGAUCCUCAUGGAUUCUACUCUCCCACUGUCUUCAACUGCUCACUGUCUCAGACAUAAGUAUUGAGCACCGUUAUUACAAUAUAAAAGAUUACGAUGGACUUCCAAGAUAAAGUGUCUUUUCCUCACCUUAGCCUACCUGUAUCAGUGUUCCCCCAGCAGUGGGCUUCACCUCCCAGUCCAUGUAGCUUAACCCUUCCUGGUAUCAUCAACUGCUGCCAGGAACACAGCUAAUAAUUCAGCAACUUAACCCAAAAUGGGGAAGGGAAGACCUUGAGAUAUCUGGAAAGAAUGAUCUACCUUGAAUACACGGUCCAAAGAAGACCAGGAAAGUGAAUCUUCUUGCUGAAUUCUGGGAUUUUUGUCAGCCUUUUUCAUUGUGGACAGUAAAGCUGGAGAAUAACACAGUCCAAGAAGAAAUGAAGAUGAAAGUCCAAGAGAUCUCUCUUAGGCUUGCUGGACCUGUUAAACUCUUCAGCAUGUCAUGUCAGCUCCUGUGGAUGGUGACUGUCAGAAGACCUUAACAGGGUUCCUGAACCUGAUGCCCAAUCACCUGCUAGUCGGGAAGGACUCAUUCUUAACAGGAACAGAUGUUCAUCCCUCAUUUUUAACUGAGAUUACAGUGAAGAUGUACUCUGGAACCAGGGAUGCCACUCAGACUACAAGAUUUUAAAAACAAAAGACUGAAACACACUAGAAGAGAGUGCUUGUUAGUAGCUGAAGAGUGAAUGUUGGAACCCUGCUAAGAAGUUUCCUUCUUGAGUACCAUCAAAAGACAGCUCAUUGGAGAGACGAUACCUGGGUAGAACAUCUACCAUUGAACUGUAUAGCUGAAGAACUACAUCUGGAUUUGACUUCUGUAUUCUACCAGGAAUAUUGUUAGACUAACCUUCAGCCAGUCCCUAAACAAUUGUUGACCAUAGACUGAACUAGCAGGUCCACACAACACACAUAGACUUCUGACCUAGAUCUUCCCUAUUAUUAAAAAAAACGAAGUUUUCUUGUAUUUUGACUUAUAGUUUAUAGUAACUGGUUUUCCCUUUAAAAUCUACUUGCUUGAAGGGGUAUUCAAUGUAACAAUCAAACUACUAAAAUACAAUUACAUGAAUACAGCAAAUUAUUAUAAGGGGGAGGGGGGAGUCCUAGGUUUAGUAGCUGGGAAAUGAUGUUUGUUUUACAUGGGGUAAAGGUUGUUUUUGUUUAACUAGUCCAUACAUAGUUUCUUCAUUUUAAUAGCUUCUUAGCCUGUGAAAUGGGCAUUCGAUGACAGGUAUGGUCAAGUUUAUAGAUGCAAUUAAAUCUUGUUUGAUAGCCUUUAAAGUAAGCCUUAAUGUGGCUGAGGAGCUAGUCCAGUAGAUAGAGCACUAGCAGAUGAUAAGAGCUAGCAUUCAGACUCCUAAGAAUGGGUAGACAUGUAGGCCACGUGUAAUCUUAGCACUGGGAAUAGUACCCACAAAGCAAGCUGGCCAAACUGUGAACUCUAGGUCCAGUGAAAAGCCCUGCAUGAAUACAUGGAAGGUGGUGAGCCGUCUGGAAAGAUGUUUCAACAUCUAACACAUAAAAGAACACAGUGCACUGAACAGUUUUGUUUUGUUUGAAGUUUGCCAAUGCUAUUUCAUAAUGUUUAAUUAAUGUUUGCUUUAUGCGAUUUUAGGAUCAUGGAAUCAGUAUCACUUACGUACCUGUUCUUUGAUAGGAGACACUCUGGGAAGGGGGAGUAAAACACAUCUUUGCCCUCAGAGCUUAGGAUGGAGUGUUUAUCAGUACAUGAGGAUGAUUGGUUUUCCUCAUAAAUGAGAAAUUCGUAGUAACGGGUAAAAAUACAUUUAUCCCCCCCCCCAAAAAAAAAAAAGAUGAUUAUAAAUGUUUGAUAAUGU
Grammomys surdaster is the source of this 4183-nucleotide long non-coding RNA. RefSeq lists it as uncharacterized. Lineage: Eukaryota; Metazoa; Chordata; Mammalia; Rodentia; Muridae. The record is from RefSeq and is a predicted model, not a curated record. The transcript is spliced from 2 exons.